UAACCUAGGUUAUUCUGGUGUAAUAUGUUAGCAGCUUGAUUUGGGGAUUCCUUAGCCUUUGGGAUUGACUCCAUAUUUUGAAGUACAUUUGGAAUUUGGCUACAUUUCCUGGCCUUUGAGAAGUGGUCUUUAUAGGAACCAUCUUAGGUGUCCCAGAAGCAUACAUUCGUCUGGUCACCAGAGAUACAUGCUCUAGGUGUGGCCUCUACGUGGGUUUCAAGGGUCCUCCUGUUGUGGAAAGUUGAAUACUAUGGGUAAUCUGAUGAGUAAACAGAGGCUUGGAGACCUGAUAUCCUGUCUAAGGUCAUAGACGAACAUAAAUAACAAAAAGAAAGGCAAGAAUUUCCCCCCAUCCUUUCCUUUUCGACUGUGUGAAACACUUUUGUCAGGAUGCAAUGCUUCGAGUGUCACCAAGAACAUGGGAAAAUAAAGGAGACCCUAGCCUCCUGCUGAUAUGGUGUUGUUUCUAAGAGCACACUGGGAUAAUUCACCUAUUAGAGGAUUCUGAUUUCUGGAAAUCUGACCUACAAUAUCUGGUGCCAGGAUUCACCCUAGAAAGCAGAUUCUAAAAUGGCUUUUGGAAGCUGAAUUUCUACUCAGUCACUUAGCAAUGAAGACCAUCCCACUGGUGAUUAUCUUGGCACCCAGACAUGAGCUGCCUUCAUCAGUCACAAAUGAAACUCCAACAACUGGACUUCACAUUCACUAAAUGGAGACUUUCUGAAGGGAAAAGAAUUGGCACAUGAUAUGCCAGCAGGUCGCCAAUACUCUCAUUUUAUUUCUGUGCAUCUUUUUAUGCUAUUCCAUUAUAAUGUAUGACUAGUCACCCAGAGACUAUGCUUCCCUUUCAGUACAUUCUACCCCAAAGCAAAUCUAAUGCUAUCAUACUACAUACAAUAUAAAACUUGGGUCUCCUAAUGCAACAAUAAAUUAGUAAAAACAGAAAGAACUGUUUAUAGUUAUUAGGAUACCAUUCAUCCAUUUAGGUAUUUAUUCAUUUUUAAAUUAAAAUUGCCUGCCUACUACAUGCCAGUUAUCUUUACAUAUGAAGAUGAUAAGAAUCUGAUUUCAUUGUUCUUAAAAUUUAGUUUUAGUAAAAUAACAAUUUUCUUCUACAAGAUUUUUAAUGGUUUUGCUCUUGGACAUAAAACACUAACAGAGAGCUUAAUUAACCUACCUUGUGCAGAGACAUUGUGCAUGCAAAGGGUUUCUGGAAAAUUAUCAUAGACAAACCUCUUGUAUACAUUUUCAGUGAAAAAUUCAGGAAGUCCUUCAUAGAAUAAAAAAUUCACCUUUGUAGUGUUAAUAGUAAGUAUAAUUUCAAAUUUCAGAAGGGUCUACUAUAUUGCCUAAUUUAAUGGAAAUUUUCACCCAGAGUAGAUAAAUCAUCACCCUGCAUUUCAAAAAAUAAAAAGAAAAAUUAAAAUAAAAAAAUAUGUUCAAUAAUAAUAGUAAUAAAAAGAACUGUCUUCCGAGUAACUUCUAUAUGCAUAUUCAUUCAUUUUCUUUUACUUAUUAUGCUAUUGUGAUUUUGUGUCAUAUGCCAUGCUAAUUUGUUCCCAUAAUUUAAAAAACCAAAACAAAUUAAACUGGUGAACAAACACACGAUUUACUAAUUAGCAUCAUAACAAUUAUCAUAAUAUGGCAAGGAAAACCAUACGGAAGUAAUAUAUAAUCUUAAUUUAUUAUCAGUGUGAAGAAAGCAUAACUGGCACUAAUCCCCUGCAAAAAGAUCUUCUAUAGAGAUGUCUGAACCUAUCAGAUCUUUGUUCCUGCUUCAUUAACACCCAUAAAGAUCUGUGCUUAAACAAUACUGCUAUCUUACUCAGUAUGGUUAAAGAAAAUCCUUAAGAAAAAGGAGAAAAGGAGAAAUCAAAAUUUAAAGGACACCUAUUCAAAAAUUUCACCUUAAUUUCAUUAAUUAACUUUCUAUAUAAUGUAAUUAUAAAUCUAAAUAUCUGCUUCCUUUGGGGUGGGGAGGGAGUGCUUGAAUUGUUACCUUUAAAGCACAGUCCAUCUGUUACACAUCCAUGCACAAAUCCUUAGAGCUAAAUCAUUUCGUUUACACACUUCUGAACAAAUAACAGUGUAAUCUCUUCCAUUUCAGUUCGCAAAAUGUGGCUGCUUUUCUGUCUAUGACAGUGUAUUAUAGGUUACAUAGCAAAGACAAAAGGAAAAGUAGAGGAUAUAAAAUAUGGACCCUAAUUCAGAACUUCAGGUGAAUGAAUACGAAAAUGUAAUUCCAUAUCUUCCUUUUUAUUUGUUAAAGUCGUCAUACAAAACAAGGAACUUUAAUGGCAAUAGAAUUGAAUCCUAAGAGUAAAGUGAAUCUGUAUUAUUUUAAUUUAGCCUAUCUGCUACUGAGGGGCCAUGAUGUCCUCCAGUUAUGUUUGUAGUUCAAGAUUUCAAAUUUCUAACCAGCAGAGUUUUUUAAAAUAUGUUUUUCUAUUAUUAUAUUUUAAAUAGUCAUUCAGAAUAGUUCUUGUUUUUCAUUAAAAUAUUGCCACUUUAUUUCUACAACUAAUUUGGUUUCUAAAAU
Molecule: long non-coding RNA, 2539 nt
Organism: Sus scrofa (pig)
Lineage: Eukaryota; Metazoa; Chordata; Mammalia; Artiodactyla; Suidae
Source: RefSeq, a predicted model, not a curated record